Molecule: long non-coding RNA, 135 nt
Organism: Cydia amplana
Lineage: Eukaryota; Metazoa; Arthropoda; Insecta; Lepidoptera; Tortricidae
Exons: 4
Source: RefSeq, a predicted model, not a curated record
AGUGUUCGGGACUGAUGUGUAGUGCAAGGUGUGAAGGCGCCGGGUGUAAUGCAACCUGUACUGGUCUCAGAUGUACCGCAACUUGUAAGGGCGACGGAUGCUUUCAAGCGGCGGCCUUAUGGUAAAUAAGGAUAC